AUUGAACGCUGGCGGCAGGCCUAACACAUGCAAGUCGAACGGUAGCACAGAGAGCUUGCUCUCGGGUGACGAGUGGCGGACGGGUGAGUAAUGUCUGGGAAACUGCCCGAUGGAGGGGGAUAACUACUGGAAACGGUAGCUAAUACCGCAUAACGUCGCAAGACCAAAGUGGGGGACCUUCGGGCCUCACACCAUCGGAUGUGCCCAGAUGGGAGUAGCUAGUGGGUGGGGUAAUGGCUCACCUAGGCGACGAUCCCUAGCUGGACUGAGAGGCUUACCCGCCACACUGGAACUGGGGCACGGUCCAGACUACUACGGGAGGCAGCGGUGGGGAAUAUUGCACAAUGGGUGCAAGCCUGAUGCAGCCAUGCGGCGUGUGUGAAGAAGGCCUUAUGGUUGUAAAGCACUUUAAGCGAGGAGGAGGCUCUUUUGGUUAAUACCCAAGAUGAGUGGACGUUACUCGCAGAAUAAGCACCGGCUAACUCUGUGCCAGCAGCCGCGGUAA
This 505-nucleotide ribosomal RNA is filed under the name uncultured bacterium. RNAcentral's name for it is "partial 16S ribosomal RNA". It matches the Rfam family "Bacterial small subunit ribosomal RNA", at positions 30 to 523 of the family's 1533-position model. The record is from RNAcentral.